This 419-nucleotide ribosomal RNA is filed under the name uncultured bacterium. RNAcentral describes it as "partial 16S ribosomal RNA". It matches the Rfam family "Bacterial small subunit ribosomal RNA", at positions 360 to 771 of the family's 1533-position model. The record is from RNAcentral.
AAUAUUAGAUAAUGGGGGCAACCCUGAUCCAGCCAUGCCGCGUGAGUGAAGAAGGACGUCGGAUUGUAAAGCACUUUAAGUUGGGAGGAAGGGCGUUAGGUUAAUACCCUGAAGUUUUGGCGGUACCAACAGAAUAAGCACCGGCUAACUCUGUGCAAGCAGCCGCGGUAAUACAGAGGGUGCAAGCGUUAAUCGGAAUUACUGGGCGUAAAGCGCGCGUAGGUGGUUCAGUAAGAUGGGUGUGAAAUCCCCGGGCUUAACCUGGGAACUGCUUUCAUAACUGCUGAGCUAGAGUACGGUAGAGGGUAGGGGAAUUUCCUGUGUAGCGGUGAAAUGCGUAGAUAUAGGAAGGAACACCAGUGGCGAAGGCGACUACCUGGACUGAUACUGACACUGAGGUGCGAAAGCGUGGGGAGCAA